AUUGAACGCUGGCGGCAGGCCUAACACAUGCAAGUCGAACGAGUGGCGGACGGGUGAGUAAUGUCUGGGAAACUGCCUGAUGGAGGGGGAUAACUACUGGAAACGGUAGCUAAUACUGCAUACCAUCAGAUGGGCCCAGAUGGGAUUAGCUAGUUGGUGGAGUAACGGCUCACCAAGGCAACGAUCCCUAGCUGGUCGGAGAGGAUGACCAGCCACACUGGAACUGAGACACGGGACAGACUCCGACGGGAGGCAGCAGAGGGGAAUAUUGCACAAGGGGAGCAAGCCUGAUGCAGCCAUGCCGCGUGUAGGAAGAAGGCCUUCGGGUUUGAAAGUACUUUCAGCGGGGAGGCGUUACCCGCAGAAGAAGCACCGGCUAACUCCGUGCCAGCAGCCGCGGUAAUAC
This 406-nucleotide ribosomal RNA is filed under the name uncultured bacterium. RNAcentral describes it as "partial 16S ribosomal RNA". It matches the Rfam family "Bacterial small subunit ribosomal RNA", at positions 29 to 526 of the family's 1533-position model. The record is from RNAcentral.